UGGCAGUAAGCACUGUCUUAGGACACCUUUAGAAUAACCAUGAAAUAAUAAUACCCUCUCUGAGCCAU
Molecule: small nucleolar RNA, 68 nt
Organism: Cuculus canorus (common cuckoo)
Lineage: Eukaryota; Metazoa; Chordata; Aves; Cuculiformes; Cuculidae
Product: small nucleolar RNA SNORD58
Exons: 1
Source: RefSeq, a predicted model, not a curated record